CUUAGUGGGUACUAGAAUCCACACAAACUACACAUAAGUCCAACUUUGAUCGGCCCACCUAUGUGCAUCUAUGAGUAGGUUCUUAACUAAUUAUUUCUCCAAACAACUUCUAGUAAUUAAUUUUGCCCCAGACAUCUCUUCAACAGGCAUGUGGCGCCUUCACUAAAAAUUUUGGUUAGAUCCAACCAUUAACAUGACUAUGCCAAGCACAUCCAACAAAUGAAUAUCCAAGCCUGAGUGUGGCUCAACCAACCUGAGCAUU
RNAcentral lists this long non-coding RNA (262 nucleotides) under Elaeis guineensis (African oil palm). Its description in RNAcentral is "long non-coding RNA (EGUI_LNC055254)". The record is from RNAcentral. Lineage: Eukaryota; Viridiplantae; Streptophyta; Magnoliopsida; Arecales; Arecaceae.